GAUGAACGCUGGCGGCGUGCCUAAUACAUGCAAGUCGAACGCUUCACUUCGGUGAAGAGUGGCGAACGAGUGAGUAAUACAUAAGUAACCUGGCAUCUACAGGGUGCUAACUGAUGGAAACGUCAGCUAAGACCGCAUAGGUGUAGAGAUCGCAUGACCUCUAUAUGAAAAUUGCUACGUGACUGGUAGAUGAUGGACUUAUGGCGCAUUAGCUUGUUGGUAGGGUAACGGCCUACCAAGGGGACGAUGCGUAGCCGACUUGAGAGGGUGACCGCCCACACGGGAACUGAGACACGGCCCAGACUCCUACGGGAGGCAGCGGAAGGGAAUUUUCGGCAAUGGGGGAAACCCUGACCGAGCAACGCCGCGUGAAGGAAGAAGUAAUUCGAUAUGUAAACUUCUGUCAUAGAGGAAGAACGGUGUGUAUAGGGAAUGAUAUCCAAGUGACGGUACUCUAUAAGAAAGCCACGGCUAACUACGUG
Molecule: ribosomal RNA, 482 nt
Filed under: uncultured bacterium
Lineage: Bacteria
Description: partial 16S ribosomal RNA
Rfam family: Bacterial small subunit ribosomal RNA
Source: RNAcentral